GCAGUCGAACGAGUUUUGGUCGAUGAACGGUGCUUGCACUGAGAUUCGACUUAAAACGAGUGGCGGACGGGUGAGUAACACGUGGGUAACCUGCCCUUAAGUGGGGGAUAACAUUUGGAAACAGAUGCUAAUACCGCAUAAAUCCAAGAACCGCAUGGUUCUUGGCUGAAAGAUGGCGCAAGCUAUCGCUUUUGGAUGGACCCGCGGCGUAUUAGCUAGUUGGUGAGGUAACGGCUCACCAAGGCGAUGAUACGUAGCCGAACUGAGAGGUUGAUCGGCCACAUUGGGACUGAGACACGGCCCAAACUCCUACGGGAGGCAGCAGUAGGGAAUCUUCCACAAUGGACGCAAGUCUGAUGGAGCAACGCCGCGUGAGUGAAGAAGGCUUUCGGGUCGUAAAACUCUGUUGUUGGAGAAGAAUGGUCGGCAGAGUAACUGUUGUCGGCGUGACGGUAUCCAACCAGAAAGCCACGGCUAACUACGUGCCAGCAGCCGCGGUAAUACGUAGGUGGCAAGCGUUAUCCGGAUUUAUUGGGCGUAAAGCGAGCGCAGGCGGUUUUUUAAGUCUGAUGUGAAAGCCCUCGGCUUAACCGAGGAAGCGCAUCGGAAACUGGGAAACUUGAGUGCAGAAGAGGACAGUGGAACUCCAUGUGUAGCGGUGAAAUGCGUAGAUAUAUGGAAGAACACCAGUGGCGAAGGCGGCUGUCUGGUCUGUAACUGACGCUGAGGCUCGAAAGCAUGGGUAGCGAACAGGAUUAGAUACCCUGGUAGUCCAUGCCGUAAACGAUGAAUGCUAGGUGUUGGAGGGUUUCCGCCCUUCAGUGCCGCAGCUAACGCAUUAAGCAUUCCGCCUGGGGAGUACGACCGCAAGGUUGAAAC
Molecule: ribosomal RNA, 879 nt
Filed under: Lacticaseibacillus casei
Lineage: Bacteria; Bacillati; Bacillota; Bacilli; Lactobacillales; Lactobacillaceae
Description: bacterial SSU rRNA
Rfam family: Bacterial small subunit ribosomal RNA
Source: RNAcentral